UACGUAGGGAGCGAGCGUUGUCCGGAUUUAUUGGGCGUAAAGAGCUCGUAGGCGGCUCGGUAAGUCGGGUGUGAAACCCCCAGGCUCAACCUGGGGACGCCACCCGAUACUGCUGUGGCUAGAGUCCAGUAGGGGAGUGUGGAAUUCCCCGGUGUAGCGGUGAAAUGCGCAGAUAUUAGGAGGAACACCGGUGGCGAAGGCGCCGCUCUGGGCCGAAACUGACGCUGAGGAGCGAAAGCAUGGGUAGCAAACAGG
This 255-nucleotide ribosomal RNA is filed under the name uncultured bacterium. RNAcentral describes it as "partial 16S ribosomal RNA". It matches the Rfam family "Bacterial small subunit ribosomal RNA", at positions 524 to 776 of the family's 1533-position model. The record is from RNAcentral.